Molecule: ribosomal RNA, 253 nt
Filed under: uncultured bacterium
Lineage: Bacteria
Description: partial 16S ribosomal RNA
Rfam family: Bacterial small subunit ribosomal RNA
Source: RNAcentral
UACGUAGGGACCAAGCGUUGUUCGGAUUUACUGGGCGUAAAGGGCGCGUAGGCGGCCUUGCAAGUCACUUGUGAAAUCUCCGGGCUUAACUCGGAACUGCCAAGUGAAACUGCUGGGCUAGAGUGCAGAAGGGGCAAUCGGAAUUCUUGGUGUAGCGGUGAAAUGCGUAGAUAUCAAGAGGAACACCUGAGGUGAAGACGGGUUGCUGGGCUGACACUGACGCUGAGGCGCGAAAGCCAGGGGAGCAAACGGG